This is a non-coding RNA of Procambarus clarkii (red swamp crayfish), 247 nucleotides long. The record is from RefSeq and is a predicted model, not a curated record. NCBI's taxonomy places the organism in Eukaryota, Metazoa, Arthropoda, Malacostraca, Decapoda, Cambaridae.
UGCUGCCAGGGAUGUUUUCAUUAAUCAAGAACGAAAGUUAGAGGUUCGAAGGCGAUCAGAUACCGCCCUAGUUCUAACCAUAAACGAUGCCAUCUAGCGAUCCGCCGGCGUUAUUCCCAUGACCCGGCGGGCAGCUUCCGGGAAACCAAAGUCUUUGGGUUCCGGGGGAAGUAUGGUUGCAAAGCUGAAACUUAAAGGAAUUGACGGAAGGGCACCACCAGGAGUGGAGCCUGCGGCUUAAUUUGAC